RNAcentral lists this ribosomal RNA (329 nucleotides) under uncultured eukaryote. Its description in RNAcentral is "partial 18S ribosomal RNA". It matches the Rfam family "Eukaryotic small subunit ribosomal RNA", at positions 1470 to 1796 of the family's 1831-position model. The record is from RNAcentral.
CCCUUAGAUGUCCGGGGCUGCACGCGCGCUACACUGUAGAAAGCAGCGUGCUUUAAAACCUUUCCUGAAAAGGAUGGGUAACCCCAGCAAAAUUCUACGUGCUUGGGAUAGAGAUUUGCAAUUUUCUCUCUUGAACGAGGAAUUCCCAGUAAGCGCAAGUCAACAGCUUGCGUUGAUUACGUCCCUGCCCUUUGUACACACCGCCCGUCGCUACUACUGAUUGGAUGUUUAAGCGAGGUUCUCGAACUGCUAGCGACUUAGCUUCGGUGAGGUCGCAGUGUGGGAAGUGAACCUAGCUUUGGUGUCUAGAGGAAGUAAAAGUCGUAACA